Molecule: long non-coding RNA, 342 nt
Filed under: Equus asinus (donkey)
Lineage: Eukaryota; Metazoa; Chordata; Mammalia; Perissodactyla; Equidae
Description: lncRNA (ENSEASG00005037058.1)
Source: RNAcentral
AAGCACCUGAACAUGUCAAGGAGAGCCCCACUUUGGAAUCCACUAUCCUCCAUGGAGACAGACACCGUCAAGGACAAGCACCUGGAUCAUCUCCUCCCCACAAAGAGAUACAGGCUGGUGGGAAAGCUGCUGACCAGCAAGAUCACGGGCUCCCUCCUCUCUGCAAGUAGUCUCAAGGCCAAAGACAAGCUGGUGGGAAAGCUCCAACCAGCAAGGCCAUAUGCUCCCGCCUCCCCUACCUAAAACCCCAAAUAAAAACCCUUCCUUUUAGCUUUUUGGGGAGUUUGGGAUUUCAGCAUUAGCUGCCCUCUCUCCUUGCUCAGAGCUGUGCAAAAAUAAAAU